This 939-nucleotide long non-coding RNA is filed under the name Monodelphis domestica (gray short-tailed opossum). RNAcentral's name for it is "lncRNA (ENSMODG00000045093.1)". The record is from RNAcentral. Lineage: Eukaryota; Metazoa; Chordata; Mammalia; Didelphimorphia; Didelphidae.
AGCACCAUUUCCCCAUCCCUAUGGUCCCCCAAACAUCUCCUCUCCAUUCCACCAUUAACCUUUUUCCCACAGAGAGAUACCGUACUCAAAGGUUUAUGUGUUCUCUCUCUGUCUCUGUUUCUGUCUCUGUGUCUCUCUGUGUCUCUCUGUCUCUGUCUCUGUCUCUGUCUCUGUCUCUGUCUCUCUCUCUCUCCCCUGUCCCACUCUGUGUCUCUCCUCACCUAUCACUUUCUAUAUUUCUUCUUUGUUCUUUCCCUCUAUAUUCUCUUUCUUUUUUGUUUUCUCUAUUCUCUAUCUUUCCCACACUCUUAUCUUUAUAACUUUUCUGACGUAUUAUCUUUUUUCUAUCCUGUUCUUCUUUCUUCUUCCCUUCUUUCAACUACUGUUCCUUGCAUUUUUCUGCCCUUACCUUCUCUCCAACACUUGUUCCCUCUGAAUUUCUUUGUUCUUUUUUUAUUACCAUUCCCCACUACAGGGUAUCACCAUAAGCAACCAGGCAUCAGAUCCACAAAGAAGAGUGAGAUUGCUGUAGGACCCGUCACCCUUAUCCCAGACUAUGGAGCACCAGGAGAUAUGACAUCAGUGACUACUGGCCUCCUGACCUAUGAAUCCACAGUAGGUGCCAUUGCAUCAGAGAGCUCCUACUUGAAGGUUUUCAACCUCAAAUUCACCAUCCUCAACCUGUUCUACACAACAGACAUGGGUCAAAGGGGCUCCAGCAAAUUCAACUCCAUUGAGGAUGUCCUGCAACCUCUGGUGAGACUCUACCUCCACUCCUCUACCUCCUCUCUCCCAAGCUUUCUUCCUCAGCCCUGGGUAUCCAGGCCUGCUAUUUAUUUAGCGAGGCACUCAGCAGUUCCUUCCUUUCCUUUUGUUUCUAGAUCAACAACUUGUUUAGAAAAAGCAGCUUUGGCCCUCACUAUUUUGGAUGCAGGCUGA